CUGGGGCUUCCCGCCGAGUCGUGGGAAUGACUUCGGCGGAUCGCUAGUUAGCAUAGUUUAGGGUUAGAACUAGGGCGGUAUCUGAUCGCCUUCGAUCCUCUAACUUUCGUUCUUGAUUAAUGAAAACAUUCUCGGCAAAUGCUUUCGCAGUAGUUAGUCUUGCGACGGUCCAAGAAUUUCACCUCUAGCGUCGCAAUACUAAUGCCACCGUCUGUCCCUUUUAAUCAUUACCUCGGUUCAUUAAAACCGACAAAAAGAACAGAAUCGAGGUCCUGUUACUUCAUUCCAUGCACAGACAUUCCGGCCGUUUUUACAGCCCGCUUUAAGCACUCUAAUUUUUUCAAAGUGAACGUGUCGGCCACCCUGGAACACUCGGGUAAAGAGCACUCCGAGCGAGCCGACAAAAUUUUAAUUGUACCAAACGCGGGCGAGCUAUACCCGAAGACCGAGAAACGCCGUCCGCUGGAAAGUUUGCCGAGAG
This 481-nucleotide ribosomal RNA is filed under the name Macrostylis sp. ML08. RNAcentral describes it as "partial 18S ribosomal RNA". Lineage: Eukaryota; Metazoa; Arthropoda; Malacostraca; Isopoda; Macrostylidae. The record is from RNAcentral.